AACAAGAAUGCUAGCGAGUAUUACUAACAUAAUGUCCACAAGCUAAAUAGUAAAUGUCAUUGUUUACUAUUCUAGUCAAAGUCCAAAUGGCAUGUUCUGUCACUAAGUUCCAAUCAUGUAAGACCCACCCGUAGGCUGUCUGGCCUGCGCUGUGCCUAAUGGCCCCGUGGUAGUCAACAUCCCCACUCUAGGAAUGAGCCUCCCCACGGCAUCCCAUUUCGACGCCCAAUCCAGCACGAGCGAGCAUAUGUCGCGAUGGCUAUCUCCGGAGUGCCGGCUUGUAGGGAACGACCCUCACAAGCAUGUGCGAAUGAGCACAAUAGCAAGCAAGCGUAAAAGUCCGUCUCAAAUACCAAGUCAUCAUGUCUAAAAUAUGAAAUGUGGCAAAUAUCUC
This 394-nucleotide long non-coding RNA is filed under the name Ananas comosus (pineapple). RNAcentral's name for it is "long non-coding RNA (ACOM_LNC000979)". Lineage: Eukaryota; Viridiplantae; Streptophyta; Magnoliopsida; Poales; Bromeliaceae. The record is from RNAcentral.